Molecule: microRNA precursor, 84 nt
Filed under: Bombyx mori (domestic silkworm)
Lineage: Eukaryota; Metazoa; Arthropoda; Insecta; Lepidoptera; Bombycidae
Description: mir-2807 microRNA precursor family
Rfam family: mir-2807 microRNA precursor family
Source: Rfam by way of RNAcentral
UUAACUCAUAUUUGUAUGGAAUGGGAUCGUUUGCCUACGUUGGCCGCUAGGGGCGCUGUUCCAACUGCAUACAAAAUUGGGUUA